RNAcentral lists this ribosomal RNA (434 nucleotides) under bacterium Ellin6001. RNAcentral's name for it is "bacterial SSU rRNA". It matches the Rfam family "Bacterial small subunit ribosomal RNA", at positions 28 to 479 of the family's 1533-position model. Lineage: Bacteria; Bacillati; Actinomycetota; Actinomycetes; Mycobacteriales; Nocardiaceae. The record is from RNAcentral.
GACGAACGCUGGCGGCGUGCUUAACACAUGCAAGUCGAACGGUAAGGCCCUUCGGGGUACACGAGUGGCGAACGGGUGAGUAACACGUGGGUGAUCUGCCCUGCACUUCGGGAUAAGCCCGGGAAACUGGGUCUAAUACCGGAUAGUACUGCGCGGUGCAUGCCGUGUGGUGGAAAGAUUUAUCGGUGCAGGAUGGGCCCGCGGCCUAUCAGCUUGUUGGUGGGGUAAUGGCCUACCAAGGCGACGACGGGUAGCCGGCCUGAGAGGGCGACCGGCCACACUGGGACUGAGACACGGCCCAGACUCCUACGGGAGGCAGCAGUGGGGAAUAUUGCACAAUGGGCGCAAGCCUGAUGCAGCGACGCCGCGUGAGGGAUGACGGCCUUCGGGUUGUAAACCUCKYUCAKCAGGGACGAAGCGCAAGUGACGGUACC